This 255-nucleotide ribosomal RNA is filed under the name uncultured bacterium. RNAcentral describes it as "partial 16S ribosomal RNA". It matches the Rfam family "Bacterial small subunit ribosomal RNA", at positions 524 to 777 of the family's 1533-position model. The record is from RNAcentral.
UACAGAGGGGGCGAGCGUUGUUCGGAAUUACUGGGCGUAAAGGGCGCGUAGGCGGCCCGCUAAGUCGAACGUGAAAUCCCCAGGCUCAACCUGGGAACUGCGUCCGAUACUGGCAGGCUUGAAUCCGGGAGAGGGAUGUGGAAUUCCAGGUGUAGCGGUGAAAUGCGUAGAUAUCUGGAGGAACACCGGUGGCGAAGGCGGCAUCCUGGACCGGUAUUGACGCUGAGGCGCGAAAAGCUAGGGGAGCAAACGGGG